Molecule: long non-coding RNA, 1125 nt
Organism: Pan troglodytes (chimpanzee)
Lineage: Eukaryota; Metazoa; Chordata; Mammalia; Primates; Hominidae
Exons: 3
Source: RefSeq, a predicted model, not a curated record
AGAAGGAAGGAAAGUGAGGGCCCUGGCUUGCUGAUUACAAACCAUCUCCAUGGUCACAGGUUGCUGGGUGCUCCUUUUACAAUGUUUUCCCAGCAGCAUGCAGGCAGCAGUAGCUUCCUUUGAUCAUUUUUCAGUUUCUGUUAUUUGCUAGUGAGAGAAAGUUUAUACCUGCUUGUGGGGACAUGAGUGAAGAAAGAGAGGGGACUUUGAAACAAGAGAAGAGAGCAAACUCAAAAGGUUUUUCAUGGCAGCAUGUGACAAGAUGAUGCUGAAAAAUUUAUAUGGAAAUUCAAAGGAUCAAGAAUAGCUGAAACAUCACUGAAGAAGAACAAGAAUUGGAAUCCAGGGCACAGAGAGGUUAAGUAAUGUGCCCAAGGUCACACAGCUAAGUAGUAGAGCUGUGGCUCACAUCUAGGAGGAGGCCAUUGUGGCUGGAGCUGGUGGGUGAUGUCAAGAAUGGCAGAUCAGGCUGGAGCUGUGUGGAAGGUCUGCGUCAUGUCCAGCCUUGUAGGCCAUGGAAGAGAGUUUGAAUUUUAUUCUAUAUAACCAUGAAAAACAAUAAAACAUAUUUAAUCAGAAAAGUGCAUGAUAUGUAUAUUUUGAAAAGCCAGUGAUGGCAUUUUAAAAAUUCUAUUUUGUGAUUAUGAAACUUCCAUAUGCUCAUUUGGAAAACACAGAAAAGCACCAAGCGGAAAAUAAAAAUCACCUCUAAUGCCACACCCUGCAAACAACAGAUAGUCACUGUUAACCUCAGAAUAUAGUCUUCCAAUCAUUGAUAAGUAUUUGCAUUAUAGCAUAGUUAGAAUUAUGCUGCACCUAUUGUUUUGUCAACUGCCAUCUAAGAGAUAUACAGUAUCAUAUGGUAGUUUUGAUCCAAGAUUUUUCAGGAAGAAAUGUACAUUAGUGAUGUGGGGUGUGGGAUGGGAGGACAGAAAGAAGCUCUUGUUUCAGAAGAAUUAGUCCAGCAGGAAGACAGGUCGUGUCUGGGACAUGGGUUUAGGUUGUCACUUUGGAAAGCUGCUUUUGAGCCACAUGUGAGCUCUCUGAAGAUUCCAUUUUCUCUGAGUUCUCCAAGGCAGAGACUAGCGCCAACACCUCUCCUUCCCCUGUAGGACUUACCCACAC